RNAcentral lists this ribosomal RNA (253 nucleotides) under uncultured bacterium. RNAcentral describes it as "partial 16S ribosomal RNA". It matches the Rfam family "Bacterial small subunit ribosomal RNA", at positions 524 to 776 of the family's 1533-position model. The record is from RNAcentral.
UACGGAGGAGGCGAGCGUUAUCCGGAAUUAUUGGGCGUAAAGCGUCCGCAGGUGGCACCUCAAGUCUGCUGUCAAAGACCGGGGCUUAACCCCAGAAAGGCAGUGGAAACUGAAGUGCUAGAGUGCAGUAGGGGUAGAGGGAAUUCCCGGUGUAGCGGUGAAAUGCGUAGAGAUCGGGAAGAACAUCGGUGGCGAAAGCGCUCUGCUGGACUGCAACUGACACUCAGGGACGAAAGCUAGGGGAGCGAAUGGG